This 433-nucleotide ribosomal RNA is filed under the name uncultured bacterium. RNAcentral's name for it is "partial 16S ribosomal RNA". It matches the Rfam family "Bacterial small subunit ribosomal RNA", at positions 29 to 507 of the family's 1533-position model. The record is from RNAcentral.
AACGAACGCUGGCGGCAGGCCUAACACAUGCAAGUCGAGCGGACCUUUCGGGGUCAGCGGCGGACGGGUGAGUAACGCGUGGGAAUAUGCCCUUCUCUACGGAAUAGUCCUGGGAAACUGGGGGUAAUACCGUAUACGCCCUUUGGGGGAAAGAUUUAUCGGGGUAGGAUUAGCCCGCGUUGGAUUAGGUAGUUGGUGGGGUAAUGGCCUACCAAGCCGACGAUCCAUAGCUGGUUUGAGAGGAUGAUCAGCCACACUGGGACUGAGACACGGCCCAGACUCCUACGGGAGGCAGCAGUGGGGAAUCUUAGACAAUGGGGGCAACCCUGAUCUAGCCAUGCCGCGUGAGUGAUGAAGGCCUUAGGGUUGUAAAGCUCUUUCAGCUGGGAAGAUAAUGACGGUACCAGCAGAAGAAGCCCCGGCUAACUCCGUG